Molecule: non-coding RNA, 312 nt
Organism: Paramisgurnus dabryanus
Lineage: Eukaryota; Metazoa; Chordata; Actinopteri; Cypriniformes; Cobitidae
Source: RefSeq, a predicted model, not a curated record
UUACAUCCGUGUUGAUAGAGACUGCCGAAGCUGCUAACCACUGUACAAAAGUCUAUUUUGCUGCGUGAGGAACCAAAUGUGGACAAUUGAAACGGAUCUGGGCGCUGGGUGCAGACGAGUGGCUCUAUUGUGGUGGUGGUGUGUCCUUCACCGUGUGUUGUGCUUCUCACUGACACCAGUCUGUGUGUGUGUGCUAUGUUCACCUGAUUGUAGUGAUUAAUUUGGCAUAUGAUACUGCCCCAGUUGGUAAGACCCAGCUCCUUGCCCAUAGCAGAAGUGUUUUACGAUGAGUGGCCAUAUUUUUAAUAUUUG